AUAGAUACCCCGGUAGUCCACGCCGUAAACGAUGUCGAUUUGGAGGUUGUUCCCUUGAGGAGUGGCUUCCGGAGCUAACGCGUUAAGUCGACCGCCUGGGGAGUACGGCCGCAAGGUUAAAACUCAAAUGAAUUGACGGGGGCCCGCACAAGCGGUGGAGCAUGUGGUUUAAUUCGAUGCAACGCGAAGAACCUUACCUACUCUUGACAUCCAGAGAACUUAGCAGAGAUGCUUUGGUGCCUUCGGGAACUCUGAGACAGGUGUUGCAUGGCUGUCGUCAGCUCGUGUUGUGAAAUGUUGGGUUAAGUCCCGCAACGAGCGCAACCCUUAUCCUUUGUUGCCAGCGGUUCGGCCGGGAACUCAAAGGAGACUGCCAGUGAUAAACUGGAGGAAGGUGGGGAUGACGUCAAGUCAUCAUGGCCCUUACGAGUAGGGCUACACACGUGCUACAAUGGCGUAUACAAAGAGAAGCGACCUCGCGAGAGCAAGCGGACCUCAUAAAGUACGUCGUAGUCCGGAUUGGAGUCUGCAACUCGACU
RNAcentral lists this ribosomal RNA (539 nucleotides) under uncultured bacterium. Its description in RNAcentral is "bacterial SSU rRNA". It matches the Rfam family "Bacterial small subunit ribosomal RNA", at positions 778 to 1317 of the family's 1533-position model. The record is from RNAcentral.